RNAcentral lists this non-coding RNA (30 nucleotides) under Mus musculus (house mouse). The record is from RNAcentral. Lineage: Eukaryota; Metazoa; Chordata; Mammalia; Rodentia; Muridae.
UGGUCUGUCCUUUCAAGUGUACACACUGUC